CCAACCCUAAACGGUGUACACUUGAUGUGGGAGGAGUUAACCCCUUCCGCGUCGAAGCUAACGCGAUAAGUGUACCGCCUGGGGAGUACGGUCGCAAGAUUAAAACUCAAAGAAAUUGACGGGGGCCCGCACAAGCGGAGGAGCAUGUGGCUUAAUUCGAUGCAACGCGAAGAACCUUACCUGGGCUUGACAUGCAGAGUUCAAGCGGUGAAAGCCGCUGGCCGCAAGGCGAUCUGCACAGGUGC
This 245-nucleotide ribosomal RNA is filed under the name uncultured bacterium. RNAcentral's name for it is "partial 16S ribosomal RNA". It matches the Rfam family "Bacterial small subunit ribosomal RNA", at positions 796 to 1041 of the family's 1533-position model. The record is from RNAcentral.